This 342-nucleotide non-coding RNA is filed under the name Peptococcaceae bacterium. RNAcentral's name for it is "T-box sequence". It matches the Rfam family "T-box leader". From Rfam's summary of the family: Uncharged tRNA acts as the effector for transcription antitermination of genes in the T-box leader family. T-boxes are found upstream of many aminoacyl-tRNA synthetase genes and some amino acid biosynthetic genes usually in Gram-positive bacteria. Lineage: Bacteria; Bacillati; Bacillota; Clostridia; Eubacteriales; Peptococcaceae. The record is from RNAcentral.
AAAAUGACGAUGAGAGGACAUAGUACAAUCUGUUUCCAUUUAAAGAGAGUUGCCGUUUGGUGCAAGGCAGUAAUGGAUAGGAUUGGAACUCUUCCUCGAGUAGCCGACCGAAAUUGGAUUAAAAGUAGGCUCGGACGGAGCUUCCACCGUUAAAAGGAAGGAGAUAUCGGAACUUCGAUGUUCGAAGUUCGAUGCGCCAAGUUCGAACCAAAAGUAGUUUUUUAGGGUCGAACCACGAACAUCGGACCACGAACCACGAUUACUCCCGUAUCUGCAGAGAAGACAGCUAUUUGUUAGUUGUCAACUUGAGUGGUACCGCGAAACUAACCCUUCGUCUCAAAU